Molecule: ribosomal RNA, 492 nt
Filed under: uncultured bacterium
Lineage: Bacteria
Description: partial 16S ribosomal RNA
Rfam family: Bacterial small subunit ribosomal RNA
Source: RNAcentral
AGUGAACGCUGGCGGUAGGCCUAACACAUGCAAGUCGAACGGCAGCACAGUAAGAGCUUGCUCUUACGGGUGGCGAGUGGCGGACGGGUGAGGAAUACAUCGGAAUCUACUUUUUCGUGGGGGAUAACGUAGGGAAACUUACGCUAAUACCGCAUACGACCUACGGGUGAAAGCAGGGGAUCUUCGGACCUUGCGCGAUUGAAUGAGCCGAUGUCGGAUUAGCUAGUUGGCAGGGUAAAGGCCCACCAAGGCGACGACCCGAAGCUGGUCUGAGAGGAUGAUCAGCCACACUGGAACUGAGACACGGUCCAGACUCCUACGGGAGGCAGCAGUGGGGAAUAUUGGACAAUGGGCGCAAGCCUGAUCCAGCCAUACCGCGUGGGUGAAGAAGGCCUUCGGGUUGUAAAGCCCUUUUGUUGGGAAAGAAAAGCAGCAGGUUAAUACCCCGCUGUUCUGACGGUACCCAAAGAAUAAGCACCGGCUAACUUCGUG